GAUGAACGCUGGCGGCGUGCUUAACACAUGCAAGUCGAACGGGAUCCCAGGAGCUUGCUCCUGGGUGAGAGUGGCGAACGGGUGAGUAAUGCGUGACCGACCUGCCCCAUACACCGGAAUAGCUCCUGGAAACGGGUGGUAAUGCCGGAUGCUCCGACAUGACGCAUGUCGUGUCGGGAAAGAUUCUAUCGGUAUGGGAUGGGGUCGCGUCCUAUCAGCUUGAUGGCGGGGUAACGGCCCACCAUGGCUUCGACGGGUAGCCGGCCUGAGAGGGCGACCGGCCACAUUGGGACUGAGAUACGGCCCAGACUCCUACGGGAGGCAGCAGUGGGGAAUAUUGCACAAUGGGCGCAAGCCUGAUGCAGCGACGCCGCGUGCGGGAUGACGGCCUUCGGGUUGUAAACCGCUUUUGACUGGGUGCAAGCCCUUCGGGGUGAGUGUACCUUUCGAAUAAG
Molecule: ribosomal RNA, 455 nt
Filed under: uncultured bacterium
Lineage: Bacteria
Description: bacterial SSU rRNA
Rfam family: Bacterial small subunit ribosomal RNA
Source: RNAcentral